AACAGGGAAGCUUGCUUCCGCUGACGACCGGCGCACGGGUGCGUAACGCGUAUGCAACCUACCUCAUACUGGAGAAUAGCCCUUGGAAACGAGGAUUAAUGCUCCAUAGUAUCACAGAUUCGCAUGUUUCUGUGAUUAAAGAAUUUCGGUAUGAGAUGGGCAUGCGUCCCAUUAGCUUGUUGGUGAGGUAACGGCUCACCAAGGCAACGAUGGGUAGGGGGCCUGAGAGGGUGACCCCCCACACUGAUACUGAGACACGGACCAGACUCCUACGGGAGGCAGCAGUGAGGAAUAUUGGGCAAUGGAGGCAACUCUGACCCAGCCAUGCCGCGUGAAGGAUGACUGCCCUAUGGGUUGUAAACUUCUUUUAUAUGGGAAGAAACUUAUCUACGUGUAGAUAACUGACGGUACCAUACGAAUAAGGAUCGGCUAACUCCGUGCCAGCAGCCGCGGUAAUACGGAGGAUCCAAGCGUUAUCCGGAUUCAUUGGGUUUAAAGGGUCCGUAGGCGGGUCUUUAAGUCAGUGGUGAAAGCCGACAGCUCAACUGUCGAACUGCCAUUGAUACUGGAGACCUUGAGUACAAAUGAAGUAGGCGGAAUGAGUCAUGUAGCGGUGAAAUGCAUAGAUAUGACUCAGAACACCGAUUGCGAAGGCAGCUUACUAACAUGUAACUGACGCUGAGGGACGAAAGCGUGGGGAA
Molecule: ribosomal RNA, 701 nt
Filed under: uncultured bacterium
Lineage: Bacteria
Description: bacterial SSU rRNA
Rfam family: Bacterial small subunit ribosomal RNA
Source: RNAcentral